UACGUAGGGUGCAAGCGUUGUCCGGAAUUAUUGGGCGUAAAGCGCACGUAGGCGGCUUUGUAAGUCGGAUGUGAAAUCCCUCGGCUUAACCAAGGAAGUGCAUCCGAAACUACAGAGCUUGAGUACUUAAGAGGAUCGCGGAAUUCCCGGUGUAGAGGUGAAAUUCGUAGAUAUCGGGAGGAACACCAGUGGCGAAGGCGGCUCACUGGCCCGGUACUGACGCUGAGGAGCGAAAGCCAGGGGGAGCAAACGGG
RNAcentral lists this ribosomal RNA (254 nucleotides) under uncultured bacterium. RNAcentral describes it as "partial 16S ribosomal RNA". It matches the Rfam family "Bacterial small subunit ribosomal RNA", at positions 524 to 776 of the family's 1533-position model. The record is from RNAcentral.